RNAcentral lists this ribosomal RNA (400 nucleotides) under uncultured bacterium. Its description in RNAcentral is "bacterial SSU rRNA". It matches the Rfam family "Bacterial small subunit ribosomal RNA", at positions 355 to 772 of the family's 1533-position model. The record is from RNAcentral.
UCGGGAAUUUUGGGCAAUGGGCGAAAGCCUGACCCAGCAACGCCGCGUGAGGGAUGAAGUAUUUCGGUAUGUAAACCUCGAAAGAAUGGGAAGAAUAAAUGACGGUACCAUUUAUAAGCUCCGGCUAACUACGUGCCAGCAGCCGCGGUAAUACGUAGGGAGCAAGCGUUGUUCGGAUUUACUGGGCGUAAAGGGCGCGUAGGCGGCGCGGUAAGUCACUUGUGAAAUCUCUGAGCUUAACUCAGAACGGCCAAGUGAUACUGCUGUGCUAGAGUGCGGAAGAGGCAACCGGAAUUCUUGGUGUAGCGGUGAAAUGCAGAGAUAUCAAGAGGAACACCUGAGGCGAAGGCGGGUUGCUGGGCCGACACUGACGCUGAUGCGCGAAAGCCAGGGGAGCAAA